AUUCUCACAAAACUCAUCAUUUUUAGCGAUUUCUUAUAUUCUUAAUACCAGAUAUAUAUAUUAAACAUCAGUACUUUAAUAACAUGACUAAAGAAUAAGAAUAUGUUGAUAUCAAAGAGUAAGCACUCCCAUUUACUCACCAUUACCAAAGGCAAUUAUAUAAAGCUUUCAGCUUUGGCGCCAAUUGCUAAAUUUAAAUGUACUUUUGUCUCUACAAAUCUUAUUCUAAUAAAAUGUAAAAAUCAUACAGUAACAUUCACAAAGAGCAGCAAACAAUGCAAAAACAUUUAGAAAACAAAUGAUUAAAGAUAUUAGGACUUUAGCUCUGACACAUAGCCAAUAGAUCCCUAAUCUGUUACCUGUGUUAGCCUAGCAUGACUUAUCAAAAUAUGAAUCAAGAGUUUCUAGGAUGUGAAUGAGUCGGACACGACUGAGCG
This 437-nucleotide long non-coding RNA is filed under the name Bos taurus (domestic cattle). Its description in RNAcentral is "long non-coding RNA NONBTAT016148". Lineage: Eukaryota; Metazoa; Chordata; Mammalia; Artiodactyla; Bovidae. The record is from RNAcentral.